GAGUAUUCAUGGUUAGAGUCUCAGUCUCUAUUACGGGCCCUAGUACACUUCAGGAACUCAAAAGCUUUGCUGAUAUAAUGCAAGGUGAUAAAAAAGUAGAAAGACUUGGGAUAAUCUUGAUUUCUGAAGGCAUCAAACGGGAAUUAGAGAAAGCAGCAGGAAAAACGAAGGCCUUUUUAAGUUCCAUGAGAACUACGGUUUGCAAGACUGGUCAAAACAGUACAAUGCAAGCGGCAAGAAUCAGGAAGUGCACAGAAACAAGAAGCUCGGUGCACACUGGGAUCAGGCAAGCAUCUGGGAGAAGACUGUAGCAAGACUGGAUCCUGAGAAAUAUACAGAGUUCAGAGGCUCCAUGGCUACACUUUGGGCAUGUAUGUCAUUACAGGAAUGAAAAAAAGAUGAUGGCCAAAUGCUGUAUUAAAAUCCCAUUAGAAAUGCCGGGAGAAAUUUAUGGCCCCAAUCUCUUUUAUCUGACAGCAGUUCCCAUGUGAUCCAUCAGGCUCUGAACAUGAAUUUUAAUGGGCUCAGAACCACUUCUCUACCCUGAGGUCACAGGCUGUCAGAGUGAAUCUUCCACAAACUGAUUGGAACCUGAAGAAUUUGCUCUGUCAAGAGAGAGAUUAUUACAUCGCAAGACAAUGCAUCGCUCCAGCAAGGAUAACAAAGCGAAUGGGAAGGAAAGGGUUAUGAAGAGUUCAUGGAAGGCACCUUAGGCAGACUACUUUUAGGAAAGAGUGGAUGUGGAAGCUAAGUAUCUGGAAAUUGAUUUCCUUAGAACAGUUUGUGUUUGCAUGUCUUCUGAAAGGUUUUAUGUACUCCCAAGAGUAAGUAUACCUGUUUGAAGAAGCUGCUCAAUAUAGUUCUUAAAAUAGUCUACAAACAUGUUACCCCAGCAUAGUAAGAAAUAGGAGUACAGCCAGAAAUGAGAGUGGGAAUGAUUAGAGAGACCUCUUUGAGGCCUUGGUCGUGGGCAGGAGCACAGUGGGCCGGGCUCUUUCUAGAUGUGCUUUAAUCAUCAGGAAUUCUGAUACAAUUAUAUUUUGACUAUGAUAUAUAAGCUUCAUUUGAUUACUGUUGCCAAAUAUUUUUUGCUCUUCACGAAGUAAACCUCUUUUUAAAACUUUUUAACUGGCAAAUAAUAAUUGCAUCUAUUUAGGGAGUACAUUGUGAUGUUUUGAUACAUGAUUACAUUGUGGAAUGAUUUAAUCAAUCUACUUAAAUUUAGUGAAAAUAACUUAAGCUAUUAAUCUCAGCCUUGGUGGCUUCUCCUAAUUUAUGCUUACACAAGAGGCUAUCUUCAUUGUGAAAUGUCACAGACUCUCACAAGCAAGAGAAGAAAAUGUAGAGAAGCCCCUCAAAUAAAAUGCAUUAGGUUAAUUCAUACCGACAAAUGUGACACACUUAAAAUUGUUCCUAACAUCAGUUCAUGAUUUAUUUCAAAAGUUCUUAAUAUUCAAAAAUGCUCAAUAAUUUAAAGUAUUUCAAUGUAUAUAGCAAAUAAACCCUGCUAUUAAAACAAAAGAAUCAGGUUCAUUUCAGAAGAGUGAAAACUAGCAAGAUCUUACUGUAAAUCAACUGUUUGUUUUCAAUUAUUUGGCAUGAGAUCUUACAUAUUUUUAACCCAUGUUUUAAUUCUCGUAGAUACCCUGUUGCAAAAGUUCUGAAACAUUGUGAGAAAAAGUGUUUUUGUAGCACUUUGGCAAUGGGAGCCUCACUUCACUCUGUUAUGUAAUGUCCCAUCCAGUUUUUAGUUAAACCUGGAAACACCUUUGUCCUUAGGUGAAGCAGCAAGUCUUGCUUAAGCAAAGCUGGUGAAAUCAGAGCCUGGUCCAAGGCUCAGAAGCGUUUGCGGGGAAAAGCAAACACUUUUUGUGGGAGAAGGAAACAAAGGAGAAGAGAGGAGGAGGAAGAAAUUGAAAAAGAAGGGGAAGAGAAGAGGAAAAGAAAAAGAGACGUUGAGAGAAAGAAAAACAGAGAGCUGUGUGUGAUUGGAUGCCAUGACUCCUCAGUCUUAGUGCUAAUGCCGUUGUUACCUAACUCUAUUUAGGGAACUUUCCAGAACAAAGCGAAGCUUUGUGGGCCUGGCUUUCAGAACUUAUGCAACAAUUGUUUUGGGAGCAGACUGAAAAUUUUACAAGAGAACUGAGUUUUCAAGAGACUGACGGUGUGACCAAAAGAUCAAAGGUUUGGUGCAGUGGGACUAAGUUUCAGGCAGCCUUUCAAAUUGUGAAGACUUUCCUCCCUGUUAUGGCAGUUAAGACAUGUGAAAAUGGUAGUUCGAGACACUUAUAAGCAACUUUCUUCUUAGUUCACAAUGUUCCAUGAAUGUCAGUGCCCUCCAAACUCACGAGAACAAAGCAGGCAACCAGGAUGAUUACUCCCAAAUCAUUGAUAAAAGGAGAGAGAAGUACAGAGAUACACAGUGAUUUGUGUGGGUUGCCAAAAAGUUGCACGGAGGAAACACAGAUAAAUUAAAUACUGGUUAGCAAUCUUUAAUAACCAGGAGAUGCUUAACAUUUAUUUAGAAAUCUGCAACAUUUUAUAAAUCAUUGUUUUGGCUUCUGGGACAAACUCAGAAUCUGGAACCCACGGAAACCCUUCAGUUACACAAAGGCUUUCCAGUUCAUUGCUACUGCACUGAAGAACAGUCUUCACAACUAUACCUGGAACUUACUAGGCCAAGAAGGCAAGGCGUUGGUAUGUGUUUUUAUUGUAGUUAAACUUAUCUGGAUUUAAAAGGCAUUAACUAUCUUCUGAUUUCUUCCUUUUUCUUCAAUUGUACAAGAGUGUUUCAAUUGAAUAUUGCAACUGAAGACAUUCACUCUGCGUUGAUCACCUAUGGAGUGAUCAAAUUUCAACCCUUUGAAGUUUCCUAAAUGAAAGAGGCACUCUGAAUUCAAAGGCUGUUUGAAUGAACUGACUGCUUCAGCACUGUCUUGUAGAUAUAGUCCAUUCAAAUAAAAGACAAAUAUCUGACUGAAUUUUGUUAGCACGUUAAGACAUGUAUUAUAAAAAGGUUUAAGAAGAAAAUAAUGGCCACAAUUCUUCAGAAAACAUGUGAACUAAUGUGACAAAACACUGUGGUGUUGCAAACUCAAGUGCUGCUCUGGCCAAGUCACCUCGCUGAAAUCUCCACUUCCACUUGUGCAACCUACCAAGCCACUCUCUACACAGCUGCCAGAGUGAUUACAAAAACAACGCGGGAUUAUGCUACCCCUGCUUAUCUAAAAUUUGUCAAAAUGCCCGUUACACUUUGAAUAAAAUACAGAUUCCUCUCAGAUCUCAUUUCUUAUCAUGUCUUUCUCAAUCAUUAUGUUCCAGCCUCACUGACCUUCUUUCUGUUCCUGUAAAAUAUUCCUGCCUCAAGGGCGCAGGCCUACGACCUGCAGUUCUCUUUUUCCCACAUGUGACCAGGCUCUCUCUUAGCCAUCAGGUCUCAAAUAAGCUCUUUCCGUUCUGUCUAGGCAUCUUAUCAAAAUCAACCUGUGUAUUAUUAUUCAUUUAUCACAUAAUCUUGUUUUAUUUUCCUCAUAGCACUCUCACUUUCUGAAAUUA
RNAcentral lists this long non-coding RNA (3555 nucleotides) under Homo sapiens (human). RNAcentral's name for it is "HSALNT0296473". The record is from RNAcentral. Lineage: Eukaryota; Metazoa; Chordata; Mammalia; Primates; Hominidae.